UACAAAUUAGUUAGACUGGACUAUACGUAAAAUUAAUACAUGUUUUUUUAGCAUGUUUAGUGAAAAAACAUUUAGUUAUAUUGCAUAACCCUUAAAAUUCGUGAGUUUUCAUUUGACUUGAGAUCUUUGACCACAUAGCUUUACAGGAACUUGCAUGUAUCUUUUAACAAAGGCCUAAAAUAAAAUAUUGUUUGUUUCCCCAAUCCAGACCAACUCUGCAGAAACAGUGCUACUAAUAAAAUUUUAUCAUGUUUAUUGUCAAAACUCUUUAAGUCGAAAAUUAUUUUAUUUAUUUCAUAUUUUCAGGCUUGCAGCAUCAUCCGAUACUAUGAUACUAUUCAGGCUAUUUGGAAAAAAUAUAUAAUUAUUUCCCUACCUUUAGCUAUCUACCCACACCUGGCUUGGCAGGGUUGGAAUUGGGGGAAC
This 426-nucleotide long non-coding RNA is filed under the name Mytilus galloprovincialis (Mediterranean mussel). The record is from RNAcentral. Lineage: Eukaryota; Metazoa; Mollusca; Bivalvia; Mytilida; Mytilidae.